Molecule: long non-coding RNA, 553 nt
Organism: Chelonia mydas (Green sea turtle)
Lineage: Eukaryota; Metazoa; Chordata; Testudines; Cheloniidae
Exons: 2
Source: RefSeq, a predicted model, not a curated record
UUAGGCUGGUCGUGGCCUGAGAUCGAAUUAUGUUAGACCCAACACUCAAACUCUAAUUAAUAAACAGAGUGAAAAGAACCGCUCUGGCACCAGUCAGAGUGGGGAUUGUCACUGACUCGCUAGCGUCACCUCCCCACCGGACUCAGCCUCCAGUUGUGACAUUUUAAACGAAUGGCCCUUUGAUGUAUGCACAGCCUGGCGAUGCUGGUGGAAUGGGAGCUGCUAUGGACUUUAGCAAAUCUGGAUUUUGCAAUUGGAAAAUUUUCUUAAUCAAACAAGAAAACCGCUUAAUCCACUUGAAUGCAGUGGCUGAUUGAAGAAACGCUACAGAGUUGGGGGUCUUUUGUUUUUGUUUUGAUAUUUCUUCAUUUGUGACACUUAGGGUCUAGACACCCCAAAGGGAGUUCUGGGGUCUGAAUCCCAAAGAAUGUGCAAUUGAAUCAACUGGUUGUGUACAAUAUUACUGUGUUUAAAUAUGUCAAGCAAGGUCUCGUAUGAAAACCUGUAAUGUGCUGAACCAGUUGGUUAUUAUAAGAUACGUAUACAAACUGUG